AGAGUUUGAUCCUGGCUCAGAGUGAACGCUGGCGGCGUGCUUAACACAUGCAAGUCGAACGAGAACGGAUUAUAGCUUGCUAUAAUUGUCAGCUAAGUGGCGCACGGGUGAGUAAUGUAUAGGUAAUAUGCCUCUUACUAAGGGAUAACAAAUGGAAACGUUUGCUAAUACCUUAUACUCCUUAUUAACAGAAGUUAAUAAGGGAAAGAUUUAUUGGUAAGAGAUUAGCCUGUAUUGUAUCAGUUAGUUGGUGGGGUAAUGGCUUACCAAGACUAUGACACAUAACUGGUUUGAGAGGAUGAUCAGUCACACUGGAACUGAGACACGGUCCAGACUCCUACGGGAGGCAGCAGUGGGGAAUAUUGCACAAUGGACGAAAGUCUGAUGCAGCAACGCCGCGUGGAGGAUGACACAUUUCGGUGCGUAAACUCCUUUUAUAUGAGAAGAUAAUGACGGUAUUAUAUGAAUAAGCACCGGCUAACUCCGUGCCAGCAGCCGCGGUAAUACGGGGGGUGCAAGCGUUACUCGGAAUCACUGGGCGUAAAGAGCAUGUAGGCGGAUUAAUAAGUUUGAAGUGAAAUCCUAUAGCUUAACUAUAGAACUGCUUUGAAAACUGUUAAUCUAGAAUGUGGGAGAGGUAGAUGGAAUUUCUGGUGUAGGGGUAAAAUCCGUAGAGAUCAGAAGGAAUACCGAUUGCGAAGGCGAUCUACUGGAACAUUAUUGACGCUGAGAUGCGAAAGCGUGGAGAGCAAACAGGAUUAGAUACCCUGGUAGUCG
This 777-nucleotide ribosomal RNA is filed under the name uncultured bacterium. RNAcentral describes it as "bacterial SSU rRNA". It matches the Rfam family "Bacterial small subunit ribosomal RNA", at positions 8 to 796 of the family's 1533-position model. The record is from RNAcentral.